CCUACGGGUGGCAGCAGUGGGGAAUAUUGGACAAUGGGCGAAAGCCUGAUCCAGCCAUGCCGCGUGUGUGAAGAAGGCCUUCGGGUUGUAAAGCACUUUCAGUGGGGAAGAAAGCCUUGGGGCUAAUACCCUCGAGGAAGGACAUCACCCACAGAAGAAGCACCGGCUAACUCCGUGCCAGCAGCCGCGGUAAUACGGAGGGUGCGAGCGUUAAUCGGAAUUACUGGGCGUAAAGCGCGCGUAGGCGGUCUGAUAAGCCGGUUGUGAAAGCCCCGGGCUCAACCUGGGAACGGCAUCCGGAACUGUCAGGCUAGAGUGCAGGAGAGGAAGGUAGAAUUCCCGGUGUAGCGGUGAAAUGCGUAGAGAUCGGGAGGAAUACCAGUGGCGAAGGCGGCCUUCUGGACUGACACUGACGCUGAGGUGCGAAAGCGUGGGUAGCAAACAGGAUUAGAUACCCGAGUAGC
Molecule: ribosomal RNA, 464 nt
Filed under: Vreelandella stevensii
Lineage: Bacteria; Pseudomonadati; Pseudomonadota; Gammaproteobacteria; Oceanospirillales; Halomonadaceae
Description: partial 16S ribosomal RNA
Rfam family: Bacterial small subunit ribosomal RNA
Source: RNAcentral